UGGGGAAUAUUGCGCAAUGGAGGAAACUCUGACGCAGCAACGCCGCGUGAGUGAAGAAGGUUUUCGGAUCGUAAAGCUCUGUCUUUGGGGACGAAUAAAAUGACGGUACCCAAGGAGGAAGCCCCGGCUAACUACGUGCCAGCAGCCGCGGUAAUACGUAGGGGGCAAGCGUUGUCCGGAAUUACUGGGCGUAAAGAGUACGUAGGCGGUUUGUAAAGUUAGAUGUGAAAGUUUGCAGCUCAACUGUAAAAGUGCAUUUAAAACUGGCAGUCGUGAGUCUCGGAGGGGUAAGCGGAAUUCCUAGUGUAGCGGUGAAGGCGUAGAGAUUAGGAAGAACACCGGGGGCGAAGGCGGCUUACUGGACGAGUACUGACGCUCAGGUACGAAAGCGUGGGAGCAAACA
This 403-nucleotide ribosomal RNA is filed under the name uncultured prokaryote. RNAcentral describes it as "bacterial SSU rRNA". It matches the Rfam family "Bacterial small subunit ribosomal RNA", at positions 355 to 774 of the family's 1533-position model. The record is from RNAcentral.